Molecule: unclassified non-coding RNA, 227 nt
Filed under: Hevea brasiliensis (rubber tree)
Lineage: Eukaryota; Viridiplantae; Streptophyta; Magnoliopsida; Malpighiales; Euphorbiaceae
Source: RNAcentral
GCUCCUACAAUUUUAGAGCUUUCAGGGGAUAAUUGGUCAAUCAGAGAAGCCGAGCCAGCUAUGGGUCCCAAAGAUGGUCGUCCUGACGGCCAAAAAUUAGAAAGCCCCUUCUAUUGGCUGAGAAUCAGAGAGCUUAAGGCAUCUGUGUAAUAGAAUCCACCACAUGCAAGAAGAUCCUCUAUGGAGAAGAUUAACCCCCUGCAUGAAACACAAGCACCCAAACUUGG